UACGUAGGGACCAAGCGUUGUUCGGAUUUACUGGGCGUAAAGGGCGCGUAGGCGGCAUGACAAGUCACUUGUGAAAUCUCUGGGCUUAACCCAGAACGGCCAAGUGAUACUGUCGCGCUAGAGUGCGGAAGGGGCAAUCGGAAUUCUCGGUGUAGCGGUGAAAUGCGCAGAUAUCAGGAGGAACACCGGUGGCGAAGGCGGGUCUCUGGGCCGAUACUGACGCUGAGGAGCGAAAGCGUGGGGAGCGAACAGG
Molecule: ribosomal RNA, 253 nt
Filed under: uncultured bacterium
Lineage: Bacteria
Description: partial 16S ribosomal RNA
Rfam family: Bacterial small subunit ribosomal RNA
Source: RNAcentral